This 253-nucleotide ribosomal RNA is filed under the name uncultured prokaryote. Its description in RNAcentral is "partial 16S ribosomal RNA". It matches the Rfam family "Bacterial small subunit ribosomal RNA", at positions 524 to 776 of the family's 1533-position model. The record is from RNAcentral.
GACGAAGGAUGCAAGCGUUAUCCGGAUUCAUUGGGUUUAAAGGGAGCGUAGGCGGACUUGUAAGUCAGUGGUGAAAUCUGUGGGCUUAACCCACAAACUGCCAUUGAUACUGCAGGUCUAGAGUACAGUUGCCGUUGGCGGAAUAUGACAUGUAGUGGUGAAAUACUUAGAUAUGACAUAGAACACCGAUUGCGUAGGCAGCUAACUAGGCUGUAACUGACGCUGAGGCACGAAAGCGUGGGGAGCGAACAGG